Molecule: ribosomal RNA, 483 nt
Filed under: uncultured bacterium
Lineage: Bacteria
Description: partial 16S ribosomal RNA
Rfam family: Bacterial small subunit ribosomal RNA
Source: RNAcentral
AUUGAACGCUGGCGGCAUGCUUUACACAUGCAAGUCGAACGGCAGCGCGGGCUUCGGCCUGGCGGCGAGUGGCGAACGGGUGAGUAAUACAUCGGAACGUGCCCAGUAGUGGGGGAUAGCUCGGCGAAAGCCGGAUUAAUACCGCAUACGACCUGAGGGUGAAAGCGGGGGAUCUUCGGACCUCGCGCUAUUGGAGCGGCCGAUGGCAGAUUAGCUAGUUGGUGGGGUAAAGGCCUACCAAGGCGACGAUCUGUAGCUGGUCUGAGAGGACGACCAGCCACAUGGGGACUGAGACACGGCCCAGACUCCUACGGGAGGCAGCAGUGGGGAAUUUUGGACAAUGGGCGAAAGCCUGAUCCAGCAAUGCCGCGUGUGUGAUGAAGGCCUGCGGGUUGUAAAGCACUUUUGGCGGGAACGAAAAGGACUGUGCCAAUACCACGGUUCGAUGACGGUACCCGCAGAAUAAGCACCGGCUAACUACGU